UGCGUAGGUGGUUGUUUAAGUCUGUUGUGAAAGCCCUGGGCUCAACCUGGGAACUGCAGUGGAAACUGGAUGACUAGAGUGUGGUAGAGGGUAGCGGAAUUCCCGGUGUAGCAGUGAAAUGCGUAGAGAUCGGGAGGAACAUCCAUGGCGAAGGCAGCUACCUGGACCAACACUGACACUGAGGCACGAAAGCGUGGGGAGCAAACA
RNAcentral lists this ribosomal RNA (207 nucleotides) under uncultured bacterium. RNAcentral's name for it is "partial 16S ribosomal RNA". It matches the Rfam family "Bacterial small subunit ribosomal RNA", at positions 568 to 774 of the family's 1533-position model. The record is from RNAcentral.